CCGUCUCCCCCCUGUUCCGGACCUCCUCCGCUCCGCCGGUCCCACCUCCCAUCCGCACCAUAUUGGCGACGCGGCCGGCUGGCUCGCCGGAGCCCGCGUGCAUCCAUGCGCGCGGCUCCGUCGAGCUGGCCGGACCACGUCGCGUACCUUGGCCGAGGGCGUUGGGUGGUGCUCCACGCCGGCGAGGCGUCUCCGGCCAGAAGGACGCGCCGGCAGCGGCGACGCGGGGCACGGAACGCCGUCGUCCACUACUCCCUGAGACGAGCCAGUGGAGGAGGUGACGCGGGUGUUCGGUGGUCUCGGCCUGGCCGCCGAUUCCGGCAGGCUGCGCUCACCGGACUCCUCCGGGAACAGCAGGGGUGCGGUGCGCUGUUGCACGCCGGCCACCAGCUCCGGCCCCUUCUCCACAUCGACGCCAGCGAUGAGCUUGCGUCCACCGGCCAGCUUGCCGCACAGGAAACAUGCCGGUGAUCCAUUCCUGGUGGACGCCAAGCUUGCUUGGCAUGGUCUUGGUGGCUGGCACCCCACCAUCAGAUGGCACGCCACGAGGAGGGCCAAGCAGGCGGCGCCGAGCAAGGAUGAGCCGUGUUCCGCCCUGCAGAUGAGAUGGCCGGUCUGUAGCUUCACCGACCUCUCCACUUGAGCGGUCUUGCAACCAUGGCCUGUGGCCAGUAGGAGUGCCAUGCAACUAUCUUCGCAGGUACAGGGAGGGAGGCUGCUGGAGGACGCCAAGUUUGGUUGGCAUGGUUUUGGUUGCCGGCACCCCACCAUCAGAUGUCACACCACGAGGAGGGCCAAGCAGGUGGCGCCUAGCAAGGACCAGCCGGUGUUCUGCCCUGGAGAUGAGAUGGCCAGUCGCUUGUGCGAUCUUGCGGGACCGUGACCUGCUAUGACUUGAUUUCGUUUUGCCGGUGACUUUUUUGUUGUUGUGGUGGUUGCAAGCAGUGCUGUAAAUGUGAAAUUUAAAAACUGCUAGUACCUAUUGUUCAUUCCUUGCU
Molecule: long non-coding RNA, 998 nt
Organism: Lolium perenne
Lineage: Eukaryota; Viridiplantae; Streptophyta; Magnoliopsida; Poales; Poaceae
Source: RefSeq, a predicted model, not a curated record